Armigeres subalbatus is the source of this 681-nucleotide long non-coding RNA. RefSeq lists it as uncharacterized. The transcript is spliced from 3 exons. NCBI's taxonomy places the organism in Eukaryota, Metazoa, Arthropoda, Insecta, Diptera, Culicidae. The record is from RefSeq and is a predicted model, not a curated record.
AAAUAGAUUUGAAGUGUACCAACAUAAAAAACACGAGCACCCCCAAUAUUUUUGAUUGUCGCAAAAUAAACAGUUUUUAGGCGCGAACGAUACAGUCGUGAAGAAUAUUAUUAAAUUCUACAAAAAUGGAAUUGUGGAAUACUGGUAAAACUACUAGAGUCAGAAUCACAGCACCGGCUUCGGAAUACAUUUUUAUCAAGGCCAAGGAAACAUUCGGCGGAAGUAUCAAUGUCGACCUUGCGAUGGUCUGAUAGACAGUAAUUGACAAUAAAUAGUUCAAAUCAACAUGUGGUCAUAUACCAGAAUCUAGAGAAGAGGAACUGGAUCGAUAAUCUGGAAUGUUUCAUAAAAACGGUCAGUUCGGACUUGUACAAUGAAAGGAUCAAUCAUUUUUGCCACCGUAGCCACCAGCAGGAUAGGAUUCCAUUUCGACUUGUAAAACCUAACGAUUGGUUUCUAAUGAAUCACUGAGAGGAUCGUACGGAUCAUCCGUGACUUCGUCUCUUCGCCAAAUAAUCGAAAAUAACCGCUUAUCAAAUCCGCAUUCGUUAGACCUCCGAAGCACGGUCGCAGAGAGAUAUUGUCGAUUGUUUGUUGGGCAAGGAUGGGCGUUGGCACGGAAGAACUGUUUGGAUCCGAAAAGGACGAGAUGAGUAACUAAGGGUCUGUCUCAUUUGGAGA